This 325-nucleotide long non-coding RNA is filed under the name Eurytemora carolleeae. RNAcentral's name for it is "uncharacterized LOC111712160". The record is from RNAcentral. Lineage: Eukaryota; Metazoa; Arthropoda; Copepoda; Calanoida; Temoridae.
GGGUACUGGUUGCCCCUUUUUACUAUGUUGUUUAUCAGUGUACUGCACUGUUCACAAUCUGAUUAACCCAGCUCCACGCACUCAGUUAAGAUCUGUUACCCAAACAAUUAUCAGAAUUAGUAAAUCGGCUGAAACUGUAGCACAGGCUUGGGAAGUUCUCUGGUUCUGUGCAAAAGCCUCUGUACAAUAGAGGACUCAUACAUGUCCUCUACUUGUACAAUGUACAUGCUAAUCUUCUCCAUCACCAACAACAUCGAGAUUAAUAACUGCAAGUAAUAUUAUCUUGUUUUAUGAUCUGUUUUGAAAUAAAUGUUGAAUAGUGUAA